This 491-nucleotide ribosomal RNA is filed under the name uncultured bacterium. RNAcentral's name for it is "partial 16S ribosomal RNA". It matches the Rfam family "Bacterial small subunit ribosomal RNA", at positions 29 to 507 of the family's 1533-position model. The record is from RNAcentral.
GUGAACGCUGGCGGUAGGCCUAACACAUGCAAGUCGAACGGCAGCACAGUAAGAGCUUGCUCUUACGGGUGGCGAGUGGCGGACGGGUGAGGAAUACAUCGGAAUCUACUUUUUCGUGGGGGAUAACGUAGGGAAACUUACGCUAAUACCGCAUACGACCUACGGGUGAAAGCAGGGGAUCUUCGGACCUUGCGCGAUUGAAUGAGCCGAUGUCGGAUUAGCUAGUUGGCGGGGUAAAGGCCCACCAAGGCGACGAUCCGUAGCUGGUCUGAGAGGAUGAUCAGCCACACUGGAACUGAGACACGGUCCAGACUCCUACGGGAGGCAGCAGUGGGGAAUAUUGGACAAUGGGCGCAAGCCUGAUCCAGCCAUACCGCGUGGGUGAAGAAGGCCUUCGGGUUGUAAAGCCCUUUUGUUGGGAAAGAAAAGCAGCAGGUUAAUACCCCGCUGUUCUGACGGUACCCAAAGAAUAAGCACUGGCUAACUUCGUG